This is a long non-coding RNA of Helianthus annuus (common sunflower), 599 nucleotides long. RefSeq lists it as uncharacterized. The record is from RefSeq and is a predicted model, not a curated record. The transcript is spliced from 2 exons. Lineage: Eukaryota; Viridiplantae; Streptophyta; Magnoliopsida; Asterales; Asteraceae.
GUGUAUGAAGUUUCCCAAGAUUUGAGAUCAAUUUAGUAAAUUUCAAGACUCAAGAGAUAACUUAGCUAGAAAGGAUCCGUGGGUCAAUAUAAUAUUAUUCAACUAGCUCACAAAUCCUUGAUACAGGAAUAUGUUACCUUUAUAUAUUUAUCUUUGUAAAGAAAAUGUGUUUAUAUACUAAACCCUUAACCUUUAUAUAUUUAUCUUUGUAUAUAUGUAUGUAUUUGAAUGUUGCUAACCAUGUUGUCAUGAGAAUGACAAUGAAAGUGCAGGUAUGUAAGGAUGAAUGCAUAAGAGUCGAAUGUUAGGAUUCGUAGAUCGAAUCUGAUAUUGUAACCGAAAGGGACCCGAACUUGCAUAUAUGUUUGGACAUGAACACCAAGUUUUCGUUAGAUGUUAUUCAGGCCUUUCGUACAAAGUGAUGAUGAUUGAAGAUCGAGUCAGGAUACGGAUAAUACGGAGGACUGGUCACGUAGUUUACUAAAGUUGUGUUUUAUUAAAUGUAAUAAGAAAAAAUGGAAAUGUGGCACCCGAAUUAUAUAUAGGAUGGUUUCUAAGUAUUUUAACUAGUUUUAAUGAAAGAAUUUUCUAAUUUACAA